This 497-nucleotide ribosomal RNA is filed under the name uncultured bacterium. RNAcentral's name for it is "partial 16S ribosomal RNA". It matches the Rfam family "Bacterial small subunit ribosomal RNA", at positions 28 to 507 of the family's 1533-position model. The record is from RNAcentral.
GAUGAACGCUGGCGGCGUGCCUAAUACAUGCAAGUCGAGCGAACGGACGAGAAGCUUGCUUCUCUGAUGUUAGCGGCGGACGGGUGAGUAACACGUCGAUAACCUACCUUUAAGACUGGGAUAACUUCGGGAAACCGGAGCUAAUACCGGAUAAUAUUUUCAACCGCAUGGUUCAAAAGUGACAGACGGUCUUGCUGUCACUUAUAGAUGGAUCCGCGCUGCAUUAGCUAGUUGGUAAGGUAACGGCUUACCAAGGCGACGAUGCAUAGCCGACCUGAGAGGGUGAUCGGCCACACUGGAACUGAGACACGGUCCAGACUCCUACGGGAGGCAGCAGUAGGGAAUCUUCCGCAAUGGGCGAAAGCCUGACGGAGCAACGCCGCGUGAGUGAUGAAGGUCUUCGGGUCGUAAAACGCUGUUAUUGGGGAAGAACAUAUGUGGAAGGAACUGUGCACAUCUUGACGGUACCUAAUCAGAAAGCCACGGCUAACUACGUG